Molecule: non-coding RNA, 72 nt
Organism: Gekko japonicus
Lineage: Eukaryota; Metazoa; Chordata; Lepidosauria; Squamata; Gekkonidae
Source: the annotation of a RefSeq genome assembly
GGGGCUGUGGCUCAGUGGUAGAGCAUCUGCUUGGGACGCAGAAGUUCCCAGGUUCAAUCCCUGACUUCUCCA